GUCUCAGUACUAGCCGAUUUUAAUUUUAUAUUAAAAAAAAUGGUGAAACCGCGAAAAGCUCAUUAAAUCGGCUUUGGUUCCUUAGAUAGUUCGCAGAUUGAAAUUUUUUUCCAAUGCAAAUUGGAAAAAAAUUUAAAUGUCUGAUAUGGAUAACUGUGGUAAUUCUAGAGCUAAUACAUGAAAAUACUUUUGUUAAGUGUGAAAAUCCGCAAAAUUCUAAUGUAUUUUUAUUAAUUUAAAAAUAAAUUGAAUUUGUGGAACAAUUUUUGCACGCUUUUAUUAGAGGAAAAAGCCAAUUUUAAAAAGAAUUUUUCGUAAAAAAAUAGUUGAGAUAUUUUUUGCAACUGCAAAAAUAUCAUAAAUUAUUUGAAAAAUUCGUGAAUUAUUAUAAUUAAUUUUUAAUCAAAAAAUUAAUUCUAUUAAUGUUGAAUCUGAAUAACUUGAAUGAAUCUUUUCCGAAAGUAUAUUAUUUGGAGAAUUUUUCUCUUUCGGGAUGAAAAAUUUUUUAAAAAAUUUUAUACGAUUAGGGAGAGAUUUAAAGCAGACCGCAAAUAUUAAGGUUAUUUUAUUUGUACGUGUGACGAAUAUGUAAAAGUAUCUCAGAACCGUUCGUAAAAUGACCGAUUGCGGCGUAUCUUUCAAUUGUCUGCCUUAUCAACUUUCGAUGGUAGAUUAUAUGUCUACCAUGGUUGUAACGGGUAACGGGGAAUCAGGGUUCGAUUCCGGAGNGGGAGCCUGAGAAACGGCUACCACAUCUAAGGAAGGCAGCAGGCACGCAAAUUACCCAAUCCCGGCACGGGGAGGUAGUGACGAUAAAUAACGAUCCGGAACUCUAAUGAGUUUCCGUAAUCGGAAUGAGUACAAUUUAAAUACUUUAACGAGGAGCCAAUGGAGGGCAAGUCUGGUGCCAGCAGCCGCGGUAAUUCCAGCUCCAUUAGCAUAUAUUAAAUUUGUUGCGNUUAAANNNNNNNNNNUUGAAUCUGUAUCUCAUACUGUCAAUCGCUCAUAAUUUCUAUUUAUGCAGUUUGACUUGACAAAAUUUAUUUUUAUUGUAUGAGAUAUGACUACUGGCGGAUUUUUAUGAAAUUAUAUACUAGAUAAUUUGUGAUUAAAUUGUUAUUAAUUUAAUCGUUAAGCAAAUUUAUCGAAUAUAUAAUUUUAAAAUUCGAUAUUGUGGCAAACGUUUAAAAGUGCGAAUUUUAUAUAAUUACAUAGUUAUUUCCUUAUGUUACAUCUGUGUGAUAAAUGUUGAUUGAGUUUUUUUUUCAUUAGAAAAAUUUCGAUUAACGUUCAAAUUUAUCGCAUUAGAUUUAAGUGAAAUAAUAUGCAUUUAUCGGUUCGCACAUUUAUUUAGUCGUUUUGUCGACGAUAUUCUGACUGUUUGACGAUUUAACGAAGAAAUUUGUAAAAGAAAUUUUUUCCAGUCAACAUGGUAAGGCCAGUAAUAUUACUUUGAACAAAUUAGAGUGCUCAAUGCAGGCUCAAUUAUAUGCCUUGAAUAUAAACAGCAUGGAAUAAUAGAAUAUGAUCUCGAUACUGUUUUUUUAUUGUUUAGUUUAGAAAUUGAUUAAGAUAAGAAUUUUUUCAAAAUUUUUUGACUAAUUGAUUUUAUUAAAUUAAACGAAAAAUUGGCUUAAAGAUUCAGUUAUUCAAAAGAAUUUAAUACUAUUAAAUCUUUGAAAUUUAUAAAUUUUAAAUCUGGUUCAUGUUCCGUUAAAAUUUUUCGUAAAAAAUUUUUUUCUCGAAAAAUGGAACUUUUUUUCUAUUACUUUAGAAAAAAAACCGAUUUAAUUAUUAAUUUUAUAAAUUUCUUUACAAUAACUGUGUCGACAGU
RNAcentral lists this ribosomal RNA (1834 nucleotides) under Halictophagus sp. 3 DPM-2011. RNAcentral describes it as "partial 18S small subunit ribosomal RNA". The stretch from base 1 to 946 matches the Rfam family "Eukaryotic small subunit ribosomal RNA", at positions 57 to 605 of the family's 1831-position model. Lineage: Eukaryota; Metazoa; Arthropoda; Insecta; Strepsiptera; Halictophagidae. The record is from RNAcentral.